RNAcentral lists this ribosomal RNA (301 nucleotides) under uncultured bacterium. RNAcentral's name for it is "bacterial SSU rRNA". It matches the Rfam family "Bacterial small subunit ribosomal RNA", at positions 29 to 334 of the family's 1533-position model. The record is from RNAcentral.
AAUGAACGCUGGCGGCGCGCUUAACACAUGCAAGUCGAGCGAGAAAGCUCCUUCGGGGGUUAGUACAGCGGCGGACGGGUGAGUAACACGUGAGAAUUUGCCCUUUAGUGAGGAAUACUCCCGAGAAAUUGGGGUUAAUACCGCAUAAGUCCCUUCGGGGAGAAAGAUGGCCUCUUUGCUGUCGCUAAAGGAUAAGCUUGCGGACUAUUAGCUUGUUGGUGGGGUAAAGGCCUACCAAGGCUUUGAUGGAUAGCCGGCCUGAGAGGGUGAUCGGCCACACUGGAACUUAGACACGGUCCAG